CUACGGGAGGCUCCAGUGGGGAAUAUUGCACAAUGGGGGAAACCCUGAUGCAGCCAUGCCGCGUGUAUGAAGAAGGCCUUCGGGUUGUAAAGCACUUUCAGCAGUGAGGAAGGGUGAUAAAUUAAUACUUUAUCAUUUUGACGUUAGCUGCAGAAGAAGCACCGGCUAACUCCGUGCCAGCAGCCGCGGUAAUACGGAGGGUGCGAGCGUUAAUCGGAAUUACUGGGCGUAAAGCGCAUGCAGGUGGUCUGUUAAGUCAGAUGUGAAAGCCCGGGGCUUAACCUCGGAAUCGCAUUUGAGACUGGCAGGCUAGAGUACUGUAGAGGGGGGUAGAAUUUCAGGUGUAGCGGUGAAAUGCGUAGAGAUCUGAAGGAAUACCGGUGGCGAAGGCGGCCCCCUGGACAGAUACUGACACUCAGAUGCGAAAGCGUGGGGAGCAAACAGGAUUAGAUACCCGCGUAGUC
RNAcentral lists this ribosomal RNA (464 nucleotides) under uncultured bacterium. RNAcentral describes it as "partial 16S ribosomal RNA". It matches the Rfam family "Bacterial small subunit ribosomal RNA", at positions 339 to 795 of the family's 1533-position model. The record is from RNAcentral.